Molecule: non-coding RNA, 83 nt
Organism: Octopus bimaculoides (California two-spot octopus)
Lineage: Eukaryota; Metazoa; Mollusca; Cephalopoda; Octopoda; Octopodidae
Source: Rfam
AGCACGAUGGCCGAGUGGUUAAGGCGUUGGACUUAAGUUCCAAUGGACAAGUGUCCGCGUGGGUUCGAACCCCACUCGUGCUA